Molecule: ribosomal RNA, 227 nt
Filed under: uncultured bacterium
Lineage: Bacteria
Description: partial 16S ribosomal RNA
Rfam family: Bacterial small subunit ribosomal RNA
Source: RNAcentral
GAUGAACGCUGGCGGCGUGCUUAACACAUGCAAGUCGAACGAAGCGCUCCGGACGAUUCUUCGGGAUGAGACUGAGGGACUGAGUGGCGGACGGGUGAGUAACGCGUGGGUAACCUGCCUCGAUACAGGGGAUAACAGUCAGAAAUGGCUGCUAAUACCGCAUAAGCGCACAGUACCGCAUGGUACGGUGUGAAAACUCCGGUGGUAUGAGAUGGACCCGCGUCUGA